RNAcentral lists this ribosomal RNA (446 nucleotides) under uncultured bacterium. Its description in RNAcentral is "bacterial SSU rRNA". It matches the Rfam family "Bacterial small subunit ribosomal RNA", at positions 355 to 793 of the family's 1533-position model. The record is from RNAcentral.
UGGGGAAUUUUGGACAAUGGGCGAAAGCCUGAUCCAGCCAUGCCGCGUGAGUGAAGAAGGCCUUCGGGUUGUAAAGCUCUUUUAGUUGGAAAGAAAGAAUUAUAGUUAAUAGCUAUAAUUUAUGACGGUACCAACAGAAAAAGCACCGGCUAACUACGUGCCAGCAGCCGCGGUAAUACGUAGGGUGCGAGCGUUAAUCGGAAUUACUGGGCGUAAAGGGUGCGCAGGCGGCCAUGCAAGUCAGAUGUGAAAGCCCCGGGCUUAACCUGGGAAUUGCGUUUGAAACUGCAAGGCUAGAGUGCAACAGAGGGGAGUGGAAUUCCAUGUGUAGCAGUGAAAUGCGUAGAGAUGUGGAAGAACACCGAUGGCGAAGGCAGCUCCCUGGGUUGACACUGACGCUCAUGCACGAAAGCGUGGGGAGCAAACAGGAUUAGAAACCCCUGUAG